This 481-nucleotide ribosomal RNA is filed under the name Blastocystis sp. Its description in RNAcentral is "SSU rRNA". It matches the Rfam family "Eukaryotic small subunit ribosomal RNA", at positions 460 to 954 of the family's 1831-position model. Lineage: Eukaryota; Bigyra; Opalinata; Blastocystidae. The record is from RNAcentral.
GGAGGUAGUGACAAUAAAUCACAAUGCGGAACUUUUAGUUUUGCAAUUGGAUUGAGAACAAUGUACAAAUGUUAUCGAUAAACAAUUGGAGGGCAAGUCUGGUGCCAGCAGCCGCGGUAAUUCCAGCUCCAAUAGCGUAUAUUAACGUUGUUGCAGUUAAAAAGCUCGUAGUUGAAAUGUGGGAUGAAGUAUAUAAUGAAUUUCUAAUUCAAUUGUAUAUUGAUUCCCCUCUCCAAUUUAUUAUUAUGGGUAUUAAUUUAUUUGUAAUAAGAAUUGGUCAUUUACUGUGAGAAAAUUAGAGUGUUCAAAGCAGGCAUUUGCUUGAAUAGAUUAGCAUGGAAUAAUACUAAAAGGCUUUUAUGGUCGAUUUUAUUGGUUUGUUCAUAAAAGCAAGAUUAAAAGGAACAGUUGGGGGUAUUCAUAUUCAAUAGUUAGAGGUGAAAUUCUCGGAUUUAUGGAAGAUGAACAAGUGCGAAAGCAA